CCUGGAUCCAUUUUUCAGUUGCCUCCUGGACUGGCUGCACUCCGAGCACUCCUGAGUCGUGCAGGUUACCUGUCAUCUCGUGGUGCUGGCCUCCCGGACUGCUCAUCCCCUCGAUCCUCCUCCUCCCGGAGACCACAUUGAUACUCCUUCUUCUUGUCACUCAUCACUGCAAGCAUAGAG
Molecule: long non-coding RNA, 180 nt
Organism: Hyla sarda
Lineage: Eukaryota; Metazoa; Chordata; Amphibia; Anura; Hylidae
Exons: 3
Source: RefSeq, a predicted model, not a curated record